AUAAGAAUUUUUCGUGUUGAAAAGAGAGGAUUUUCAUAGACAUACAGCGUAACCCUAUCAGAAUCAAUCUCCUAUAAUGAAGUAGUCGCAUGACCUCAAAAGCAUCAUGUCACCCGAAUUGCUCAAAUUCAUCUUGACUAUGUGUCACCAUUCUAGACACUACCUGAAUCUUUAAAACCCACGAUUCCAUUUCACCGGCAGUACUUUUCAGUUGCACAGGCCAGGCCUUGCUAAUUAAGAUGAGAAAAAGACUCGGACCCUACACACCAAAUCGCCGAAACAACACAUUUUUCACACACAAAUUGGUGCGACAAAAUUAUUUUACAACAAAAAUUAAUCAACAAAGCUAUAAAGAAAUCACAUUGUAGUUGUGACAACACUUACGCUAAUAGCUUCACUCCACAAGAUUCUUUAAUUUCUUACUGUCCAACCACCAU
This 437-nucleotide unclassified non-coding RNA is filed under the name Hevea brasiliensis (rubber tree). The record is from RNAcentral. Lineage: Eukaryota; Viridiplantae; Streptophyta; Magnoliopsida; Malpighiales; Euphorbiaceae.